AGGGUGUAAACGCUGCAGACUUGGUGUUGGGAACCCUUCGGGGGUGUCCAGUGCCGGAGAGAAGUUGUUAAGUCUGCUACUUGGGGAGUACGUCCGCAAGGAUGAAACUUAAAGGAAUUGGCGGGGGAGCACCGCAACGGGAGGAGCGUGCGGUUUAAUUGGAUUCAACGCCGGGAAGCUCACCGGAUAAGACAGCGGAAUGAUUGCCGGGCUGAAGACUCUGCAUGACUAGCUGAGAGGAGGUGCAUGGCGUAGACGUCU
Molecule: ribosomal RNA, 261 nt
Filed under: uncultured archaeon
Lineage: Archaea
Description: partial 16S ribosomal RNA
Rfam family: Archaeal small subunit ribosomal RNA
Source: RNAcentral